CUUGCUAAGACUGAUGGCGACCGGCGCACGGGUGAGUAACACGUAUCCAACCUGCCGUCUACUCUUGGACAGCCUUCUGAAAGGAAGAUUAAUACAAGAUGGCAUCAUGAGUCCGCAUGUUCACAUGAUUAAAGGUAUUCCGGUAGACGAUGGGGAUGCGUUCCAUUAGAUAGUAGGCGGGGUAACGGCCCACCUAGUCUUCGAUGGAUAGGGGUUCUGAGAGGAUGAACGGCCACACUGGAACUGAGACACGGUCCAGACUCC
Molecule: ribosomal RNA, 264 nt
Filed under: uncultured Bacteroides sp.
Lineage: Bacteria; Pseudomonadati; Bacteroidota; Bacteroidia; Bacteroidales; Bacteroidaceae
Description: partial 16S ribosomal RNA
Rfam family: Bacterial small subunit ribosomal RNA
Source: RNAcentral